UAUAUUUAAAUUAGCGGUGUACC
Molecule: non-coding RNA, 23 nt
Filed under: Arabidopsis thaliana (thale cress)
Lineage: Eukaryota; Viridiplantae; Streptophyta; Magnoliopsida; Brassicales; Brassicaceae
Source: RNAcentral